UAAUUAAAUUAGUUUAUUCUGUUUUGGGUCCAUCACUCCCAAAUUAUUGAAAAUUUAAAUGAUUAACCAAAAAAAAAGUAACGAAGAAACAUGUUUUUGGUUUCCUCUUUUCAGCGACCACAUGGCUAUUUAGUAUUUACCAUGAUGCUCUAAUAAGUGGCUAUAAUUGAUUAAGAAACUCAUCAUCGUGAAUACAGCUGGUUUGUGUCGUUUAGUGUUGACUAAGAAUAAUCAAGUACUUGGUCUUCAGUUGCGUUCUAACCAAAACACAUUCGCAUAUACAGAUCUGUUGUAAGAAAAGCGAUUUUCAAGAGGAGACUUAUGGCUGAGCUAGCAGUGGCACUUUUACCGUUUGCAGUCGAGAGGCUUUCGAACCUCCUUGUCCGAGAAACUGAGCGAUUUCAAGGAGUUGAAGAGGAGUUCGAGGGAUUAAAAUAUGAUGUUGAAAAGUUAAGGUGUUUUCUAGAAGACGCAGAGGCCAAAAAACAUACAAGUGCAACGGUAAAACACACUAUCCAAGCGGUCAAAGAAAUAGUUUUGGACGCAGAAGAUAUAGUCGAAACCUUUGUUUUAAUGGAAGAACUCGGAAAUAGAAGAGGCAUCAGGAACACUGUAAGAAGACUUUCUUGUGUUAGUUUGGAACGCAGGGGACUUGCAAUGGAUAUGAAAGCUGUACGUGUGAGGAUCUCUAAGGAGAUACACGAUAUGCAGAGUUAUGGCGUACAACAUCAGGUCAUUGUCAGAGAAAGGUGUAUGCCUCCACAGGACGAACAAAGACAAACGUUUUAUAUCGUUGAUGAAGAGCAACCUAUUGUUGGAAUGGAGAAAAAUAUUGAGCUAGUGGUUGGCAAUUUGGUGGAGGAGGAUAGCAGUCAAGUGGUUGCUAUAACUGGGAUGGGUGGUAUUGGUAAAACCACAUUGGCAAGAAAAGUUUACAAUCAUGAGAAAAUAAAAAGUCAUUUUCGAGGAUUAGCGUGGGUGUGUGUUUCACAACAGUUUGAAAGGAAAUGUGUCUGGCAGACAAUCUUGCGACAACUGAUCGGGCCAGAAUGCGAUGUGUCAAAGAUGAUGGAAGACGAACUUCUUGAGAAGAUUGUUCGAGUGUUGGAAACUCAAAAGGCUUUGAUCGUCAUUGAUGAUAUAUGGAGAGAAGAAGACUGGGACCUAAUCAAGGAUGUGUUUCUGCCGAAAAAAGGAUGGAAGGUUUUACUUACUUCUCGCAAUGAGAAAGUGGCAUUACAUGCAGACAAUCAAUGUGUCCCCUUCAAACCAGAAUGUCUAACUUCUGAAGAAAGUUGGGAUCUUUUUCAAAGAAUAGCAUUUCCUAUUAAAGACACAGCUGAAUUUAAGAUUGAUGAAGUCGACAUGAAAGAAAUCGGUAAGGAGAUGAUUAAACAUUGUGGAGGCCUACCAUUGGCUCUUAAGGUGUUAGGCGGGUUGUUAUGUAAGAAGUACACAUUGAAUCAGUGGAAAACGGUACAUGAGAAUAUGAAAGCUCCCAUCGUUAGAGGGACAGGCUUUGUCGACAGAAACGUCAAUAGGGAGGUUAACGAUGUUUUGUAUCUGAGUUUCGAAGAGCUGCCUGCUUAUUUGAAGCAGUGCUUUCUUUACCUUGUUAGUUUUCCAGAAGAUUAUAAAAUAAAUGUGGAGACACUGUCCUAUUACUGGGCUGCAGAAGGAAUACUAAUGCCAAUGGAUUUCGAUGGAGCCAGCAUUCGAGAGGUUGCAGAUGGAUACAUAGAACAAUUGGUGAAGAGAAACAUGGUUAUUUCUGAAAGAGACGUUAAAACUUUCAGAUUUGAAACACUUCAGUUGCAUGACAUGAUGAGAGAAGUUUGUGUACGCAAAGCUGAAGAAGAGAAUUUCGUACAAACCAUUUGCAGAUCAACUGCAAAUUCGAAAUCUCCUUGUAAAUCUCGCAGACUUGCUGUUGUACGUUGGUAUGAAGAAACAUUUAAUGUCGAUACGGAGGUGAAGAAUCCAAGUCUUAGAACUCUCUUGUUUCUCCAGAGCAAAGGUUUAUUCUUUACAAGAUUUAAGCUGAUGAGAGUGUUAGAUCUCCCUUGUGUUGAUUUUGAAGGAGGGAAGGUACCCUCUAGCAUCGGGAAGCUCAUCCACUUGAGAUAUCUUAAUUUAGAGAUGUCAAAUGUACAUCAACUGCCUUCUUCUAUGCGGAAUCUGAAGAAGCUGCUCUAUUUAAACCUAAAUAUAUAUUUUGAAGUCUACAUUCCCAAUAUCUUGAAAGAUAUGGAAGAAUUGACAUACUUGUGGUUGCCGUUGAGAUUACAUGAUAAGACGAAGUUGGAAUUAGGAAAUCUGGUCAACCUGGAGACGUUGAAGAAUUUCUCCACAAAACAUGGGAGAGUGACGGAUGUACAAGGUAUGACACAGCUCAGAUAUCUCUGUAUCUUUAUUACAGACGAGAGGUAUACUAUAAAAACUCUAUCUUCGUCUCUAAGUAAACUUUCACACUUGGAGAGUCUUACUAUAGAUAACAAGAAGAAGUUUUAUACUCCCACGAAUGAUGAUGAAGAAGGAUUUGUUUGGGAUUUUGUUAAUCUCAAACAGCUGAAGUUGGAGAUAUAUAUGCCAAGGUUACCUGAUGCGCAACGCUUUCCUUCUCACCUUACAACCAUAAGUCUAAAGCAGUCUCGUUUGAAGAAGGAUCCAAUGCCUAUUCUAGAGAAGUUGCUUCACUUGAAAAAGAUUAGUUUACAUAAACGAUCUUUCUGUGGGAGGAGAAUGGAUUGCUCAAGGGGUGGGUUUCCUCAAUUGCAGAAGCUAAAAUUUGAUGGAUUAAAGGAGUGGGAAGAGUGGAUAAUAGAAGAAGGCUCCUUGCCCCUUCUCCAUACUCUCAAAAUUGACUCUUGUCCAAAGUUAAAGGAGCUUCCUGAUGGGCUGCGAUUUGUCACUAACUUGGAGUGUUUGAAUAUUGAUAGUAUGGGAGACGAAUUCGAUUUGAGAUUGUCGGAAAGAUACUUGCCUUCCCACCUUACAACCAUCUGUCUAAGUGGUUGUCAUUUGACAGAGGACCCAAUGCCUAUUUUAGAGAAGCUUCUUCAGUUGAAAGAGAUUAGUUUACAUGAAGGAUCUUUCUGUGGGAGGAGAAUGGUUUGCUCAAGGGAUGGGUUUCCGCAAUUGGAGAAGCUAGAAUUUAAAGGAUUAAAGGAGUGGGAAGAGUGGAUAAUAGAAGAAGGUUCCAUGCCUCUUCUCCAUACUCUAAGUAUUUGGUCUUGCAGAGAAUUAAAGGAGAUUCCUGAUGGGUUGCGAUUCAUCACUUCCUUAGACUAUCUUUUUGUUGGUGAAUCAAGUAUUAGAUUGUCGGAAACAUGCUUGCCUUCUUUCCUUACAACCAUAUCUCUAAUUGAUUUUCGUUUGACAGAGGAUCAGAUGAUGAUUCUAGAGAAGUUGCUUCACUUGAAAGAUGUUAAGUUAAAUGGUUGUUUCUGUGGGGGAAGAAUGGUUUGCUCGAGGGGUGGGUUUCCUCAAUUGCAGAAUCUAGAAUUUGAGGGAUUAGAGGAGUGGGAAGAGUGGAUAGUAGAAGAAGGCUCUAUGCCCCUUCUCCAUACUCUCCAGAUUGACUCUUGUCCAAAGUUAAAGGAGAUUCCUGAUGGGCUGCGAUUCAUCACUUCUUUGAAUAGUCUGUUUUUUUAUAAUAUGGGGAAGAGAUGGGAGAAGAGACUGUCGAAAGGAGGAAAAGACUAUUACAAAGUCCAACACAUCCCUUCUGUUAAAUUCAUUUAUUAUUGAUCUCCGCAAUGAUGAGUCAGUCAGCAGCUGAAGGAGACUCUCAGCAAUUACGGACUAUCAGUGGCAAACAGAGAUUUUACAAGUGAAACGUACUGGCACACACGAGGAGUGGAUGCUGCGGUGAAGCUGUUCGACCAAGUGUCUAACUGAGGUGAUAGAGAUAGAGAGAUUUAUUUUGGGAAGUGAAGCUGUUCGACGAAGGUUCUCAUGUUACCUUUGUUGACUGAGAGAGGUGAAAUAUGUUAAGAUUCUUAUAUAUUAGAUUUCUCUUUACAUUUUCUUGUAUUUGUUCUUCUCAAGCGACUAGGCUUUUUGAAAAUUUCCGUAUAGAACUGUGUUGAAACUCUUUGCUUGCCUCUGUAUAAAAGAUUUAUGGAUUUGAUGCCACAGAAUAGUUGAUCUUAGUCGUUGAUAUUUUCAGUAAAUAUUAUUUGAAUUAUGAACU
Molecule: RNA transcript, 4195 nt
Organism: Brassica rapa (field mustard)
Lineage: Eukaryota; Viridiplantae; Streptophyta; Magnoliopsida; Brassicales; Brassicaceae
Gene name: probable disease resistance protein At1g59620
Source: RefSeq, a predicted model, not a curated record